GCCGGUGUAGCUCAGUUGGUAGAGCAGUUCAUUCGUAAUGAAAAGGUCAGGGGUUCGAUUCCUCUUACCGGCACCA
RNAcentral lists this transfer RNA (76 nucleotides) under Methylibium sp. NZG. RNAcentral describes it as "tRNA-Thr". It matches the Rfam family "tRNA". Rfam says of the family: Transfer RNA (tRNA) molecules are approximately 80 nucleotides in length. Their secondary structure includes four short double-helical elements and three loops (D, anti-codon, and T loops). Lineage: Bacteria; Pseudomonadati; Pseudomonadota; Betaproteobacteria; Burkholderiales; Sphaerotilaceae. The record is from RNAcentral.